UUGCCAAGGAUCUUUUUCAGCAUCAUUGGCUGGAACAUGCGGUUCGGUGAAGAAACCGCAUCAAGUGGUCCAAGUGAGGUUGAGCCAGGACGAGUUGGACCGUAGGUGGAGAUUAUCGUGAUCCGAGUCAACUAGCGUCGGAUACGACCCAGGCAACCGUUAGUUCCAAAGGUGUUAAUCGCGGAAAGUAUUGUUAAUUCCAUCCGCGUCUGCGCGAGGAGUGGAGGCUCUAUUCGGAUUCAUCUGCUCCAAUCCAAAGGUGUCAAUGGAUUCAUCUUCAUUUCCAUCUCAGUCUACCAUUUCCAGAAUUUCAGUUAGAGGAACUGUGGAAAACCCUCGAUGGGUUUUUCCCAAAUUCGUAAAAUUACAGCAAAAUUCAGAAAAACGCAGACUUUGGUCCAAAAACUUCUGUUUGACUGCUAACAGUGAUGGGUCUCGACGGGAAGUGCACGGUUUAGGCGACAGAGAUGGUGUGAUCAUUGUUGACCAUGGCUCCCGGCGCCAAGAAUCCAACCUCAUGCUAAAUGAGUUUGUAGCCAUGUUUAGAGAGAGAACUGGAUACCCAAUUGUGGAACCUGCUCAUAUGGAGUUGGCUGAGCCAUCAAUCAAGGAUGCAUUCAAUUUAUGUGUGCAACAAGGGGCACAUCGUGUAAUUGUUAGUCCUUAUUUUCUCUUCCCAGGGCGGCAUUGGUACGAGGAUAUCCCGGCCUUAACAGCUGAAGCUGCAAAGGAGCACUCAUGCAUCUCGUAUAUCGUAACUGCACCUCUUGGACUGCACGAGUUAAUUGUGGAUGUUGUGAAUGACAGAAUCAAGCACUGCUUGAGCCAUGUAGCAGGGGAUGCCGAUGAGUGUGCAUCUUGUUCUGGAACAGGCAGAUGUCGUCUCUUUUAGCUAUUCAUUAUUUGCUUGGCAUGCUCCAUUCACUUCAUCAUCAAGUUUGACUUAUGAGGUGGUCCAAUGUAACAGUUUCUGUUGCUUAUUGAAGAACUUGGCUGCAGCAAACACAUUUGAGGGUCUUUCCCACCCGCCGCUAAAGACACCAUAUGCUUCUUUUGGUUGAGGACGGAUAAGGAAUUCAAGCACUGGCAACUCUUCUCUAUCCACCCAAUGGAUGCAGUUUACAGGGCAUGAAUCAAGCGAUACCUGUCAUCGCUGCUUCCAUCAUCUUCCUUAUGAUAAUGUUAAUAUGAAAUCAUGGACAGUAGCAUGCAUACAUAUGCCAACUCUUACUUUCUUUACCUUUCUUAUCUGUUUAAGUUUUAUUGCCAUAGACAUCUGAGAGGGUAGUAAGCAAUAAUAUUGAAUUGGGGGAUCCAACUUCCUAUAUGGAAUCUAUGGACUAUGAGGUUUGUAAGUUCCUUCACCCUAAAUUUUUUACCUCAA
This is an RNA transcript of Macadamia integrifolia, 1384 nucleotides long. It is a transcript of the gene named sirohydrochlorin ferrochelatase, chloroplastic, with no coding region annotated. Lineage: Eukaryota; Viridiplantae; Streptophyta; Magnoliopsida; Proteales; Proteaceae. The transcript is spliced from 7 exons. The record is from RefSeq and is a predicted model, not a curated record.